GAUUAACGCUGGCGGCGUGCAUAACACAUGCAAGUCGAACGAUGAAACUUAACUGAUUUCUUCGGAAUGAUUUUAAGUGGAUUAGUGGCGGACGGGUGAGUAACGCGUGAGUAACCUGCCUUGGAGAAGGGGAUAGCCUUUGGAAACGAAGAAUAAUACCCUAUGAUAUGAUAAUAUCUCAUGAUAUUAUCAUCAAAGAUUUAUCGCUCUAAGAUGGACUUGCGUCUGAUUAGUUAGUUGGUGAGGUAACAGCUCACCAAGGCAGCGAUCAGUAGCCGGCUUGAGAGAGUGUACGGCCACAUUGGGACUGAGACACGGCCCAGACUCCUACGGGAGGCAGCAGUGGGGAAUUGUGCACAAUGGGGGAAACCCUGAUGCAGCGACGCCGCGUGAUUUAGAAGGCCUUCGGGUUGUAAAAAUCUUUUGUAUGGGAAGAAAAUGACAGUACCAUACGAAUAAGGACCGGCUAAUUACGUG
RNAcentral lists this ribosomal RNA (477 nucleotides) under uncultured bacterium. RNAcentral describes it as "partial 16S ribosomal RNA". It matches the Rfam family "Bacterial small subunit ribosomal RNA", at positions 28 to 507 of the family's 1533-position model. The record is from RNAcentral.